UACGGAGGGUGCAAGCGUUGUUCGGAAUUAUUGGGCGUAAAGCGCGUGUAGGCGGCUUUGCAAGUCGGGUGUGAAAGCCCUCAGCUCAACUGAGGAAGUGCGCCCGAAACUGCAGAGCUUGAGUGCCGGAGAGGGUGGCGGAAUUCCCCCAAGUAGAGGUGAAAUUCGUAGAUAUGGGGAGGAACACCCGGUGGCGAAGGCGGCCGACCUGGACGGUAACUGACGCUGAGACGCGAAAGCGUGGGGAGCAAACAGG
Molecule: ribosomal RNA, 256 nt
Filed under: uncultured bacterium
Lineage: Bacteria
Description: partial 16S ribosomal RNA
Rfam family: Bacterial small subunit ribosomal RNA
Source: RNAcentral